Molecule: ribosomal RNA, 524 nt
Filed under: uncultured bacterium
Lineage: Bacteria
Description: partial 16S ribosomal RNA
Rfam family: Bacterial small subunit ribosomal RNA
Source: RNAcentral
GACGAACGCUGGCGGCGUGCCUAAUACAUGCAAGUCGAACGAAGCUGUUUUAACUGGUGCUUGCACCGACUUAAACAACUGAGUGGCGAACGGGUGAGUAACACGUGGGUAACCUGCCCCAAAGCGGGGGAUAACAUUUGGAAACAGAUGCUAAUACCGCACAACCACCGAAACCACAUGGUUUCUGUGUCAAAGAUGGUUUCGGCUAUCACUUUGGGAUGGACCCGCGGCGGAUUAGCUAGUUGGUAAGGUAAUGGCUUACCAAGGCAAUGAUACGUGGCCGAACUGAGAGGUUUAUCGGCCACAUUGGGACUGAGACACGGCCCAAACUCCUACGGGAGGCAGCAGUAGGGAAUCUUCCACAAUGGACGAAAGUCUGAUGGAGCAACGCCGCGUGAGUGAAGAAGGUCUUCGUAUCGUAAAACUCUGUUGUCAGAGAAGAACGUGUGCGAGAGUAACUGCUCGUGCAGUGACGGUAUCUGGCCAGAAAGCCACGGCUAACUACGUGCCAGCCGCCGCGGUAA